AUUGAACGCUGGCGGCAUGCUUUACACAUGCAAGUCGAACGGCAGCGCGGGCUUCGGCCUGGCGGCGAGUGGCGAACGGGUGAGUAAUGCAUCGGAACGUGCCCAGUAGUGGGGGAUAGCCCAGCGAAAGCCGGAUUAAUACCGCAUACGACCUGAGGGUGAAAGCGGGGGACCGAAAGGCCUCGCGCUAUUGGAGCGGCCGAUGUCGGAUUAGCUAGUUGGUGGGGGAAAGGCUUACCAAGGCGACGAUCCGUAGCUGGUCUGAGAGGACGACCAGCCACACUGGGACUGAGACACGGCCCAGACUCCUACGGGAGGCAGCAGUGGGGAAUUUUGGACAAUGGGGGCAACCCUGAUCCAGCCAUGCCGCGUGCGGGAAGAAGGCCUUCGGGUUGUAAACCGCUUUUGUUCGGGAAGAAAUCCUCUGGGCUAAUACCCCGGGGGGAUGACGGUACCGGAAGAAUAAGCACCGGCUAACUACGUG
RNAcentral lists this ribosomal RNA (484 nucleotides) under uncultured bacterium. RNAcentral describes it as "partial 16S ribosomal RNA". It matches the Rfam family "Bacterial small subunit ribosomal RNA", at positions 29 to 507 of the family's 1533-position model. The record is from RNAcentral.